GACGAACGCUGGCGGCGUGCUUAACGCAUGCAAGUCGAACGGAAAGGCCCUGCUUUUGUGGGGUGCUCGAGUGGCGAACGGGUGAGUAACACGUGAGUAACCUGCCCUUGACUUUGGGAUAACUUCAGGAAACUGGGGCUAAUACCGGAUAGGAGCUCCUGCUGCAUGGUGGGGGUUGGAAAGUUUCGGCGGUUGGGGAUGGACUCGCGGCUUAUCAGCUUGUUGGUGGGGUAGUGGCUUACCAAGGCUUUGACGGGUAGCCGGCCUGAGAGGGUGACCGGCCACAUUGGGACUGAGGUACGGCCCAGACUCCUACGGGGGGCAGCAGUGGGGAAUUUUGCACAAUGGGCGGAAGCCUGAUGCAGCAACGCCGCGGGCGGGAUGACGGCCUUCGGGGUGGAAACCGCUUUCGCCUGGGACGAAGCGGGAGGGACGGUAAUGGGUAAAGAAGCACCGGCUAACUACGGG
Molecule: ribosomal RNA, 468 nt
Filed under: uncultured bacterium
Lineage: Bacteria
Description: partial 16S ribosomal RNA
Rfam family: Bacterial small subunit ribosomal RNA
Source: RNAcentral